This 928-nucleotide ribosomal RNA is filed under the name Curtobacterium flaccumfaciens. Its description in RNAcentral is "bacterial SSU rRNA". It matches the Rfam family "Bacterial small subunit ribosomal RNA", at positions 61 to 998 of the family's 1533-position model. Lineage: Bacteria; Bacillati; Actinomycetota; Actinomycetes; Micrococcales; Microbacteriaceae. The record is from RNAcentral.
GUCGAACGAUGAUGCCCAGCUUGCUGGGUGGAUUAGUGGCGAACGGGUGAGUAACACGUGAGUAACCUGCCCCUGACUCUGGGAUAAGCGUUGGAAACGACGUCUAAUACUGGAUAUGAUCACUGGCCGCAUGGUCUGGUGGUGGAAAGAUUUUUUGGUUGGGGAUGGACUCGCGGCCUAUCAGCUUGUUGGUGAGGUAAUGGCUCACCAAGGCGACGACGGGUAGCCGGCCUGAGAGGGUGACCGGCCACACUGGGACUGAGACACGGCCCAGACUCCUACGGGAGGCAGCAGUGGGGAAUAUUGCACAAUGGGCGAAAGCCUGAUGCAGCAACGCCGCGUGAGGGAUGACGGCCUUCGGGUUGUAAACCUCUUUUAGUAGGGAAGAAGCGAAAGUGACGGUACCUGCAGAAAAAGCACCGGCUAACUACGUGCCAGCAGCCGCGGUAAUACGUAGGGUGCAAGCGUUGUCCGGAAUUAUUGGGCGUAAAGAGCUCGUAGGCGGUUUGUCGCGUCUGCUGUGAAAUCCCGAGGCUCAACCUCGGGCUUGCAGUGGGUACGGGCAGACUAGAGUGCGGUAGGGGAGAUUGGAAUUCCUGGUGUAGCGGUGGAAUGCGCAGAUAUCAGGAGGAACACCGAUGGCGAAGGCAGAUCUCUGGGCCGUAACUGACGCUGAGGAGCGAAAGCAUGGGGAGCGAACAGGAUUAGAUACCCUGGUAGUCCAUGCCGUAAACGUUGGGCGCUAGAUGUAGGGACCUUUCCACGGUUUCUGUGUCGUAGCUAACGCAUUAAGCGCCCCGCCUGGGGAGUACGGCCGCAAGGCUAAAACUCAAAGGAAUUGACGGGGGCCCGCACAAGCGGCGGAGCAUGCGGAUUAAUUCGAUGCAACGCGAAGAACCUUACCACGGCUUGACAUACACCGGAAACG